UAUUCAUAUAAUCAUACAUAAUGGCUGGAACUGGAAGUGCAAGUGCAAGCUCUAGUUCAGUUGCAAAUGUCCGAAAUGAAAAUACCCCCUUUAAAAUUGAUCAAGAUUCACCACUUUGGCAUUAUACAACAAUGAUCAAGCCAGUGUCUGGUGGUGGGGGUUUUGUUUGGCAAUGCAACCAUUGUGGCACUGAGUAUACCAGCUCAUACUAUCGAGUGAAAGGCCACCUUUGUUUCAUCCCUGGGCGUGGAAUAAAAUUUUGUAAGGGAUCAGAUGGCAAGGGGCUGCCAAAAGCUCUAGUUUUGGGAUAUAUUAGAGAACAAGAGGAAGCUGAUAGGAGAAGUAGCAAAGCAAAGACUGAUCAUCCUCUUGUCCAUCAAAGCUCAAUGUCUAAGAGGCCUUCUAGUAGCAUUGGCUCCACAAGACCAGCUGGUUCACAUCCUUUCAUGCAAAACCCACCAGUUGAUGUAGUAGAGAAUCAGAAUGUUGUGGCUUCACGGAAAAGAGGCCCAUUGGAUUUUGCCUUCAAAAAUGAACUGAGAGAGAUUGCAGAUUCCAAAAUUGCACGUUGCCUUUAUGGCAAUGGGCUUCCUUUCAACCUUGUUAGAUCACCUUACUUUCGGGACAUGGUGCAUACUCUUUGCAAUACACCUUCUGAUUAUGUUUGUCCAGGGUAUGAAAAGGUGAGAACCACCUUAUUGGCAAAGGAGAAAGCAUCCAUAGAGUUACAGUUGAAGGUCAUCAAAGAUACAUGGCAGGAAACAGGUGUGACCAUUGUUUCUGAUGGAUGGAAAGAUUGUAAAAAUAGGCCAUUGAUCAAUGUUAUAGCAGUGUGUCCUAAAGGGGCAAUGUUUUUGAAAGCAGUGGAUUGUGAGGGGCAAGUGAAAGAUGCAAGUUUCAUUGCCAAUAUCUUGAUAGAAUGCAUUGACAUGGUGGGGCCUCAAAAUGUUGUCCAAGUUGUAACUGACAAUGCUAAAAAUUGUAGGGCAGCAGGGACUAUAGUGGAGGCUACAUAUGGUCACAUCUUUUGGACACCAUGCGCAGUACACUCACUCAAUUUAAUCAUGCAAAAGCUUGGCACACAAAUUGAUUGGGUGAAAAAACUAUAUGCGGAGGGCGAGGAGAUUCAAAUGUUUGUGACUAAUCAUCAUAUGUCACAAGCCAUUUUCAGGACCUUCUCCAAGUUGGAGUUGUUGAAGGUUGCUGAAACACGAUUUGCAUCUCACACGCUCGUCUUAAGACGACUUCUGAAGGUGCGAGACGCCUUGAGUUCUAUGGUCAUCAACAGCUUGUGGAGUGUAUGGAAGCAGUCCCACACAGAAAGAGCUCUAAAAGUAAGAGCAUUGAUCCUUAGUGAGAAAUGGUGGGAUGAUGUGGAAUAUGUUUUGAAUUUCACUGAGCCCAUCAUGAGCAUGAUCAGGUAUGCUGAUACUGAUCGCCCAUGUUUGGGCGAGAUUUAUGAUGGCAUGGAUUGCAUGGUGGAAAAAAUAAAAGAAGUAAUAAAUAGAAAAGAAAAUGACCCAACGGAAACAUUUUUCAAAGUUGUGUAGAAAAUUGUUGUUGACCGUUGGAACAAGAUGACCACCCCCUUACAUCUCUUAGCAUUUGCUUUGACGCCAAAAUUUUAUAGUGCAGAGAUGCUUGCAACACCAAGGAGGGUGCCACCAUAUAGAGAUGCAGAGGUUGCUUCUGGCUAUAGGGCUGCCUUUAAAAAGAUAUAUCAAGAUGAGGAGACAAGAAAUAUUGUCAUGAGAGAGUUUGGCCAAUUUGUAUCUGCAAAAAAUCAUGAUGUUGUAGCUCUUAAUGCUAGAUAUGGGAUGGAUGCUGAUGAGUGGUGGUAUGUACAUGGUCAAGGCUCCAUUUACUUGCAGCCUCUUGCAAUUAAACUUAACUCCCAAGUUGCAAGUUCUUCUUCAGCUGAGCGGAAUUGGAGUACAUACUCCUUCAUCCACUCAGUCAAACGUAAUCGUUUGGGUGCAAAGAAAGCUGAGGAUUUGGUCUACGUACA
Molecule: RNA transcript, 2008 nt
Organism: Cryptomeria japonica (Japanese cedar)
Lineage: Eukaryota; Viridiplantae; Streptophyta; Pinopsida; Cupressales; Cupressaceae
Exons: 3
Source: RefSeq, a predicted model, not a curated record